RNAcentral lists this ribosomal RNA (427 nucleotides) under uncultured bacterium. RNAcentral's name for it is "bacterial SSU rRNA". It matches the Rfam family "Bacterial small subunit ribosomal RNA", at positions 355 to 774 of the family's 1533-position model. The record is from RNAcentral.
UGGGGAAUUUUGGACAAUGGGCGCAAGCCUGAUCCAGCAAUGCCGCGUGCAGGAUGAAGGCCUUCGGGUUGUAAACUGCUUUUGUCCGGAGCGAAAAGGUCUGCCCUAAUACGGUGGGCUCAUGACGGUACCGUAAGAAUAAGCACCGGCUAACUACGUGCCAGCAGCCGCGGUAAUACGUAGGGUGCGAGCGCUAAUCGGAAUUACUGGGCGUAAAGCGUGCGCAGGCGGUUAUAUAAGACAGAUGUGAAAUCCCCGGGCUCAACCUGGGACCUGCAUUAGUGACUGUAUAGCUAGAGUACGGUAGAGGGGAAUGGAAUUCCACGUGUAGCAGUGAAAUGCGUAGAUAUGGGGAGGAACACCAAUGGCGAAGGCAAUCCCCUGGACCUGUACUGACGCUCAUGCACGAAAGCGUGGGGAGCAAACA